Frankliniella occidentalis (western flower thrips) is the source of this 448-nucleotide long non-coding RNA. RefSeq lists it as uncharacterized. The transcript has 2 exons. The record is from RefSeq and is a predicted model, not a curated record. Lineage: Eukaryota; Metazoa; Arthropoda; Insecta; Thysanoptera; Thripidae.
ACAGCAUUAGUCUUCCGCAGCAAGACACACACAUCCCUCAGCACCAAGAUGUUGAAGCUCGUCGUCGUGCUGGUGCUCGCCGUCCUGGCCGCCGUCUCCGCCCAGCCCCAGCUGAUCGCCACCACGCCGUACGUGGCCAGCCCGCUGUACCGCUCCGCCUACUACAGCACCGGCUACGCAUCGUAUCCCUACGCCUACAGUGCCUACAGCGCCCCACUCGCCUACUCGCCCCUCGCCUACUCCAGCGCAUACCUGUACCGUUAGGAAUGAAGUCCGUCAAAGUCAAGUGAUCAGUAUGCCUCCGAAGGAUGCGAAACGCAAUAACUUUCAAACGGCAGCGGCUUUUCUACUGACACGAAUUGCCGUACGGAUUAGGUAAAUCACUCCCACCGCCAACAUUUGACGAACAUGUGUACCAAUUCUUCGAAAUAUAAAACCUAAUUUUUAA